AUGUCUACAUUUUUAAAAUGUAAGUUAUGUAAGUUAUUUGCCUUUUCCUCACAGACCCUGUACUGGUGUGCAAACAGCCCUCUCAGAUUCAGAUUACACAGAAGCUGGACUGCAAGAAGAGAGGGCAAAUUGCAAAAGAGGUGUUUGACAAAUGAAAAAUACAAAAAAGACAAAACAUAUCCUUUGAGAGUUUCUCCACAGCUCAGUCACCCCAGCAUAGUGGAUGUAUCCACCCUGCAUCUCAUGAAUAUGGCCAGGACACAAAGGCUGAGCUCAGUCCUCUGAUGCUGGCUGUUCGAUGAGGCAGCAUCGAGUGUCACAGACCCUCUCCAUGCUGCCUGUGUGACCUCACUCCUCCUCCUCAACCUCCUCCUCUUACAGUCCUACAGCACCAAAAAAUGCAGGGCUGGAAAGAGGAGCACCCUCUGUGUGAACUGAAAAACACCAGUGGCAUAAAUAUUGACAAAGAGUGACUAUUGGGGCAGGUUCACUGCCCUCAAAGCUAAGGAGGAACAAGAUGUGCUCUCAAGAGAAGCAUCUGUGCCCGCUGACCCUGAGCCAUGCAGAGGCACCAGGAGGAAACAGCGAGUGAAUGACAACAGCGGGUGACUCUCUGCUUCCAGGGAUAGAUAGACCCAGAUGUCAGUCUGACCUGCUCUCUAGACAAUUUUGCUCUUUGCUCACUGAGAACUUAUCAGAGAGGAUUAAGGAGUAGACAAUGUGGGUGACAAGGUAGUGAGUGUCUGCUGUGCAUCCCCUGACCAGGAAGGACCAGUGCAUGAGGCUUUCCAUGGGCAGCCAGAAGCAGCCUCCCAUCUACAGACUCUGGUCCUCACGGGGCAUUUUACCACCCUGAUACCUGCUGGAAUGGCAUAAGCAGCAGCAUAGGACCUGGAGCUCCUGGGGGGAUACCAUGAGUCAAUGUGGGAUCUCAGCACCUCAGGACUGAGGUGCCGAGUCACCGAGACCACCCUUGGGGGGCUCGGGAGUCCUGGGAUGUUGCCAGAAGUGUCUGGUGGCUGCACUUUGAUCCUACACAGGAGACGACACCUGUAUGAGGAUAGGAGGGUUUCACCGGGGUGAAUGGUGAAGGGAUUAGUUAGUUAGAGGGUGAGACACAGGGUUUAGGAUUUCUGUACA
RNAcentral lists this long non-coding RNA (1140 nucleotides) under Junco hyemalis (dark-eyed junco). RNAcentral describes it as "lncRNA (ENSJHYG00000005253.1)". The record is from RNAcentral. Lineage: Eukaryota; Metazoa; Chordata; Aves; Passeriformes; Passerellidae.